Molecule: ribosomal RNA, 527 nt
Filed under: Serratia sp. Air211
Lineage: Bacteria; Pseudomonadati; Pseudomonadota; Gammaproteobacteria; Enterobacterales; Yersiniaceae
Description: bacterial SSU rRNA
Rfam family: Bacterial small subunit ribosomal RNA
Source: RNAcentral
AGCUUGCUCCCUGGGUGACGAGCGGCGGACGGUUGAGGUAAUGUCUGGGAAACUGCCUGAUGGAGGGGGAUAACUACUGGAAACGGUAGCUAAUACCGCAUAACGUCGCAAGACCAAAGAGGGGGACCUUCGGGCCUCUUGCCAUCAGAUGUGCCCAGAUGGGAUUAGCUAGUAGGUGGGGUAAUGGCUCACCUAGGCGACGAUCCCUAGCUGGUCUGAGAGGAUGACCAGCCACACUGGAACUGAGACACGGUCCAGACUCCUACGGGAGGCAGCAGUGGGGAAUAUUGCACAAUGGGCGCAAGCCUGAUGCAGCCAUGCCGCGUGUGUGAAGAAGGCCUUCGGGUUGUAAAGCACUUUCAGCGAGGAGGAAGGUGGUGANCUUAAUACGUUCAUCAAUUGACGUUACUCGCAGAAGAAGCACCGGCUAACUCCGUGCCAGCAGCCGCGGUAAUACGGAGGGUGCAAGCGUUAAUCGGAAUUACUGGGCGUAAAGCGCACGCAGGCGGUUUGUUAAGUCAGAUGUG